AUUAACUGAAUCCAUAGGUUAAUGAGGCGAACCGGGGGAACUGAAACAUCUAAGUACCCCGAGGAAAAGAAAUCAACCGAGAUUCCCCCAGUAGCGGCGAGCGAACGGGGAGGAGCCCAGAGCCUGAAUCAGCAUGUGUGUUAGUGGAAGCGUCUGGAAAGGCGCGCGAUACAGGGUGACAGCCCCGUACACAAAAGCGCAUGUGCUGUGAGCUCGAUGAGUAGGGCGGGACACGUGGUAUCCUGUCUGAAUAUGGGGGGACCAUCCUCCAAGGCUAAAUACUCCUGACUGACCGAUAGUGAACCAGUACCGUGAGGGAAAGGCGAAAAGAACCCCGGCGAGGGGAGUGAAAAAGAACCUGAAACCGUGUACGUACAAGCAGUGGGAGCACAGGUUUACCUGUGUGACUGCGUACCUUUUGUAUAAUGGGUCAGCGACUUAUAUUCUGUAGCAAGGUUAACCGAAUAGGGGAGCCGGAGGGAAACCGAGUCUUAAUUGGGCGUUAAGUUGCAGGGUAUAGACCCGAAACCCGGUGAUCUAGCCAUGGGCAGGUUGAAGGUUGGGUAACACUAACUGGAGGACCGAACCGACUAAUGUUGAAAAAUUAGCGGAUGACCUGUGGCUGGGGGUGAAAGGCCAAUCAAACCGGGAGAUAGCUGGUUCUCCCCGAAAGCUAUUUAGGUAGCGCCUCGUGAAUUCAUCUCCGGGGGUAGAGCACUGUUUCGGCUAGGGGGCCAUCCCGGCUUACCAACCCGAUGCAAACUGCGAAUACCGGAGAAUGUUAUCACGGGAGACACACGGCGGGUGCUAACGUCCGUCGUGAAGAGGGAAACAACCCAGACCGCCAGCUAAGGUCCCAAAGUCAUGGUUAAGUGGGAAACGAUGUGGGAAGGCCCAGACAGCCAGGAUGUUGGCUUAGAAGCAGCCAUCAUUUAAAGAAAGCGUAAUAGCUCACUGGUCGAGUCGGCCUGCGCGGAAGAUGUAACGGGGCUAAACCAU
RNAcentral lists this ribosomal RNA (999 nucleotides) under Salmonella enterica. RNAcentral describes it as "partial 23S ribosomal RNA". It matches the Rfam family "Bacterial large subunit ribosomal RNA", at positions 153 to 1190 of the family's 2925-position model. RNAcentral also lists the same sequence under 1 other name. Lineage: Bacteria; Pseudomonadati; Pseudomonadota; Gammaproteobacteria; Enterobacterales; Enterobacteriaceae. The record is from RNAcentral.